Molecule: non-coding RNA, 308 nt
Organism: Paramuricea clavata
Lineage: Eukaryota; Metazoa; Cnidaria; Anthozoa; Malacalcyonacea; Plexauridae
Source: the annotation of a GenBank genome assembly
AAUGUUUUAAUUCUACGCUGCAUCCAGCCACGGUUUUACAUACAAUAGUUAAUUUGGUCACGGUGCUUGAACAAGUCACGAGUUACUAACAGCCGUUUGCAGAUUAAUGAGUCGAUAUUAGCAUAGUAUCUAACCUUGCCUUGUUCGCAUUUAUUUUGGGAUGUCGCCAGUGGCGUCGUGCUAACUGGUUCGUUCUCUUGCUGUGGUUGUAGUUCAUAUUAUCUUUGGUAUAUUGUAUGUACCGAACAAUGGAAGCCUAUUGCUAUUGGUUAAUUCUAUUGAUCGUAGCUCCUGAAUUUGUUAGAGGU